This 503-nucleotide ribosomal RNA is filed under the name Flavobacterium sp. RNAcentral describes it as "bacterial SSU rRNA". It matches the Rfam family "Bacterial small subunit ribosomal RNA", at positions 80 to 581 of the family's 1533-position model. The record is from RNAcentral. Lineage: Bacteria; Pseudomonadati; Bacteroidota; Flavobacteriia; Flavobacteriales; Flavobacteriaceae.
CUUCGGUGCUAGAGACCGGCGCACGGGUGCGUAACGCGUAUGCAAUCUACCUUUUACAGAGGGAUAGCCCAGAGAAAUUUGGAUUAAUACCUCAUAGUAUUAUGAAAUGGCAUCAUUUUAUAAUUAAAGUCACAACGGUAAAAGAUGAGCAUGCGUCCCAUUAGCUAGUUGGUAAGGUAACGGCUUACCAAGGCUACGAUGGGUAGGGGUCCUGAGAGGGAGAUCCCCCACACUGGUACUGAGACACGGACCAGACUCCUACGGGAGGCAGCAGUGAGGAAUAUUGGACAAUGGGCGCAAGCCUGAUCCAGCCAUGCCGCGUGCAGGAUGACGGUCCUAUGGAUUGUAAACUGCUUUUAUACGAGAAGAAACAACAUUACGUGUAAUGUCUUGACGGUAUCGUAAGAAUAAGGAUCGGCUAACUCCGUGCCAGCAGCCGCGGUAAUACGGAGGAUCCAAGCGUUAUCCGGAAUCAUUGGGUUUAAAGGGUCCGUAGGCGGUUU